RNAcentral lists this ribosomal RNA (253 nucleotides) under uncultured bacterium. Its description in RNAcentral is "partial 16S ribosomal RNA". It matches the Rfam family "Bacterial small subunit ribosomal RNA", at positions 524 to 776 of the family's 1533-position model. The record is from RNAcentral.
UACGAAGGGUGCAAGCGUUAAUCGGAAUUACUGGGCGUAAAGCGUGCGUAGGCGGUUUCUUAAGUCUGCUGUGAAAGCCCCGGGCUCAACCUGGGAAUGGCGUCUGAUACUGGAUGGCUUGAGUUCGGGAGAGGGAUGCGGAAUUCCAGGUGUAGCGGUGAAAUGCGUAGAUAUCUGGAGGAACACCGGUGGCGAAGGCGGCAUCCUGGACCGAAACUGACGCUGAGGAGCGAAAGCCAGGGGAGCAAACGGG